This 457-nucleotide long non-coding RNA is filed under the name Arachis ipaensis. RNAcentral describes it as "long non-coding RNA (AIPA_LNC000943)". The record is from RNAcentral. Lineage: Eukaryota; Viridiplantae; Streptophyta; Magnoliopsida; Fabales; Fabaceae.
CAAAUCCUCAAUGAGGUUAAGAUCCUUUGCCAGGUCAACCAUAGAAGCUUAGUGAGGCUUUUGGGUUGUUGUGUUGAGCUUCCAAAUGAGCCUCUUCUUAUAUAUGAGUACGUCCCUCUGAAUCUGUCAUAAUAAAUACUUCUUUUUUAUUUUAUUUGCUUUAAACUCCAUAAAUUUGCCAUUAACAUUUUAAAGAUGGAAACUCAAGUAAAGUUAACUUUAUUUGAAAUUGAAAUUGAUAGUUUGAGAAUCAUUAAAUAAAAAUUUAAUCAAAUUAAUUAAAUUAUUUAAGUGCUUUCAACUAUCAAUUUUACCUCAUCAGUUUUAAGAAUCAUAUUCAAUACUUAAAUUAGGUAUGUCUCCAAUGGCACCCUCUUUGACCACCUUCACAACAAGAACUCCAGCAAAUGGAUCCGUCUUGGAUGGCAUUCAAGGCUAAGAAUCGCACACCAAACAG